AUUAACGCUGGCGGCGUGCAUUAUGCAUGCAAGUCGAACGGUCUUGAUUUAUCAAGACAGUGGCAGACGGGUGCGUAACGCGUAAGUAACCUGCCCCUAAGUGGGAAAUAGCUCGGAGAAAUCUGAGGUAAUACCGCAUGUGGUUCUUCACCGCCGGGUGAAGAAUUAAAGUCCUUCGUAAGAAGGGCGCUUGGGGAGGGGCUUGCGUCCGAUUAGCUAGUUGGUGAGGUAAAGGCCCACCAAGGCGACGAUCGGUAGCUGAUCUGAGAGGAUGACCAGCCACACUGGGACUGAGACACGGCCCAGACUCCUACGGGAGGCAGCAGCAAGGAAUAUUGUGCAAUGGGCGAAAGCCUGACACAGCGACGCCGCGUGAGGGAUGAAGACCUUCGGGUUGUAAACCUCUUUUAUCAGGGAAGAAUAAUGACGGUACCUGGUGAAUAAGUCUCGGCUAACUACGU
This 461-nucleotide ribosomal RNA is filed under the name uncultured bacterium. RNAcentral describes it as "bacterial SSU rRNA". It matches the Rfam family "Bacterial small subunit ribosomal RNA", at positions 29 to 506 of the family's 1533-position model. The record is from RNAcentral.